Molecule: ribosomal RNA, 117 nt
Organism: Desulfosporosinus sp. I2
Lineage: Bacteria; Bacillati; Bacillota; Clostridia; Eubacteriales; Desulfitobacteriaceae
Source: Rfam
UCUGGUGAUCAUGCCGGAGGGGUUCCACCCGUUCCCAUACCGAACACGGAAGUUAAGACCUCCUGGGCCAAUGAUACUUGGGGCGCAAGCCCCUGGGAAAGUAGGUCAUCGCCAGGU